Zalophus californianus (California sea lion) is the source of this 137-nucleotide small nuclear RNA. Its record names the gene U4. It matches the Rfam family "U4 spliceosomal RNA". Rfam says of the family: U4 small nuclear RNA (U4 snRNA) is a component of the major U2-dependent spliceosome. The structure of U4 snRNA from yeast and human has been reported. The record is from Ensembl. NCBI's taxonomy places the organism in Eukaryota, Metazoa, Chordata, Mammalia, Carnivora, Otariidae.
AGCUUUGCGCAGUGGCAGUAUCGUAGCCAAUGAGGUUUAUCCGAGGCGCAAUUAUUGCUAAUUCAAAAUAGAAAAAGCGGUAAAAAGCUUCCAGGACAAACAGAAAAUAAAAGAAUUUGUGAUCACCAAACCAGCGC